RNAcentral lists this ribosomal RNA (771 nucleotides) under uncultured bacterium. RNAcentral's name for it is "bacterial SSU rRNA". It matches the Rfam family "Bacterial small subunit ribosomal RNA", at positions 8 to 796 of the family's 1533-position model. The record is from RNAcentral.
AGAGUUUGAUCCUGGCUCAGGACGAACGCUGGCGGCGUGCUUAACACAUGCAAGUCGAGCGGUAAGGCCCUUCGGGGUACACGAGCGGCGAACGGGUGAGUAACACGUGGGUAACCUGCCCUGUACUCUGGGAUAAGCCUGGGAAACUAGGUCUAAUACCGGAUAUGACCUGCCUCCGCAUGGUGGUGGGUGGAAAGUUCCGGCGGUACAGGAUGGACCCGCGGCCUAUCAGCUUGUUGGUGGGGUAAUGGCCUACCAAGGCGACGACGGGUAGCCGGCCUGAGAGGGUGACCGGCCACACUGGGACUGAGACACGGCCCAGACUCCUACGGGAGGCAGCAGUGGGGAAUAUUGCACAAUGGGCGAAAGCCUGAUGCAGCGACGCCGCGUGAGGGAUGACGGCCUUCGGGUUGUAAACCUCUUUCAGCGGGGACGAAGGGCAACUGACGGUACCCGCAGAAGAAGCACCGGCUAACUACGUGCCAGCAGCCGCGGUAAUACGUAGGGUGCGAGCGUUGUCCGGAAUUAUUGGGCGUAAAGAGCUCGUAGGCGGUUUGUUGCGUCGGCUGUGAAAACUUCACGCUUAACGUGGAGCCUGCAGUCGAUACGGGCAGACUUGAGUUCGGCAGGGGAGACUGGAAUUCCUGGUGUAGCGGUGAAAUGCGCAGAUAUCAGGAGGAACACCGGUGGCGAAGGCGGGUCUCUGGGCCGAUACUGACGCUGAGGAGCGAAAGCGUGGGGAGCGAACAGGAUUAGAUACCCUAGUAGUCC